This 103-nucleotide non-coding RNA is filed under the name unclassified sequences. RNAcentral's name for it is "Prevotella-2 RNA". It matches the Rfam family "Prevotella-2 RNA". The record is from Rfam by way of RNAcentral.
AGGCUUAGCCUCUCAAGAUAUCUCAUCAUCCGAUGAGUUUUUUUAUUAGUCAUGUGUGCUAAUGCUCGUGAGAGUAUGGUAUACAAAAAACAAAAAGUUGAGU